UACGGAGGGUGCAAGCGUUGUUCGGAAUUAUUGGGCGUAAAGAGCGUGUAGGCGGUUCGGUAAGUCAGAUGUGAAAGCCCUGGGCUCAACCCAGGAAGUGCAUUUGAAACUACCAGACUUGAGUACGGGAGAGGAGGGGGGAAUUCCCGGUGUAGAGGUGAAAUUCGUAGAUAUCGGGAGGAAUACCAGUGGCGAAGGCGCCCCUCUGGACCGAUACUGACGCUGAGACGCGAAAGCGUGGGGAGCAAACAGGAUUAGAUACCCCCGUA
RNAcentral lists this ribosomal RNA (269 nucleotides) under uncultured prokaryote. RNAcentral's name for it is "partial 16S ribosomal RNA". It matches the Rfam family "Bacterial small subunit ribosomal RNA", at positions 524 to 792 of the family's 1533-position model. The record is from RNAcentral.